Molecule: ribosomal RNA, 432 nt
Filed under: uncultured bacterium
Lineage: Bacteria
Description: partial 16S ribosomal RNA
Rfam family: Bacterial small subunit ribosomal RNA
Source: RNAcentral
AACGAACGCUGGCGGCAGGCCUAACACAUGCAAGUCGAGCGCGCCCUUCGGGGUGAGCGGCGGACGGGUGAGUAACGCGUGGGAACGUGCCCUUCUCUGCGGAAUAGCCUCGGGAAACUGAGAGUAAUACCGCAUACGCCCUUUGGGGGAAAGAUUAUCGGAGAAGGAUCGGCCCGCGUUGGAUUAGGUAGUUGGUGGGGGAAUGGGCCACCAAACCGACGAUCCAUAGCCGGUUUUGGAGGAUGAUCAGCCACACUGGGACCGAGACACGGCCCCAACCCCCACGGGAGGGAGGAGGGGGGGAACUUGAACAAUGGGGGGAAACCCGAAUCAGCCCUGCCGCGGGGGUGAUGAAGGGCCUUAGGUUUUAAAAGUCUUUUACGCGGGGAAAUUAAGGCCGUUCCCAGCAAAAAAAGCCCGGGCAAACUCGGU